RNAcentral lists this ribosomal RNA (497 nucleotides) under uncultured bacterium. RNAcentral's name for it is "partial 16S ribosomal RNA". It matches the Rfam family "Bacterial small subunit ribosomal RNA", at positions 28 to 507 of the family's 1533-position model. The record is from RNAcentral.
GAUGAACGCUGGCGGCGUGCCUAAUACAUGCAAGUCGAGCGAACAGACGAGGAGCUUGCUCCUCUGACGUUAGCGGCGGACGGGUGAGUAACACGUGGAUAACCUACCUAUAAGACUGGGAUAACUUCGGGAAACCGGAGCUAAUACCGGAUAAUAUAUUGAACCGCAUGGUUCAAUAGUGAAAGACGGUUUUGCUGUCACUUAUAGAUGGAUCCGCGCCGCAUUAGCUAGUUGGUAAGGUAACGGCUUACCAAGGCAACGAUGCGUAGCCGACCUGAGAGGGUGAUCGGCCACACUGGGACUGAGAGACGGUCCAGACUCCUACGGGAGGCAGCAGUAGGGAAUCUUCCGCAAUGGGCGAAAGCCUGACGGAGCAAAGCCGCGUGAGUGAUGAAGGUCUUCGGAUCGUAAAACUCUGUUAUUAGGGAAGAACAAAUGUGUAAGUAACUAUGCACGUCUUGACGGUACCUAAUCAGAAAGCCACGGCUAACUACGUG